This 73-nucleotide transfer RNA is filed under the name Camelus bactrianus (Bactrian camel). It matches the Rfam family "tRNA". Rfam says of the family: Transfer RNA (tRNA) molecules are approximately 80 nucleotides in length. The record is from Rfam by way of RNAcentral. Lineage: Eukaryota; Metazoa; Chordata; Mammalia; Artiodactyla; Camelidae. RNAcentral also lists the same sequence under 2 other names.
GAGGGUAUAGCUCAAGUGGUAGAGCACAUGCUUAGCACGCAUGAGGUCCUGGGUUCAAUCCCCAGUACCUCCA